GGCAUGGCCUAGUGGUUUGAGUGUUGGCCUACAGCUCUGGAGACCAGGGUUUGAUUCCCAGUUCAGCCA
Molecule: transfer RNA, 69 nt
Filed under: Phrynosoma platyrhinos (Desert horned lizard)
Lineage: Eukaryota; Metazoa; Chordata; Lepidosauria; Squamata; Phrynosomatidae
Description: tRNA-OTHER
Source: RNAcentral